UAGGCUUGUAGCUCAAUGGCAGAGCGUUGCGCUGAUAACGCAGAGAUAGAGGAUCAUUACCUUUCAGGCCGAU
RNAcentral lists this transfer RNA (73 nucleotides) under Leuconostoc mesenteroides. RNAcentral describes it as "tRNA-Ile(gat)". It matches the Rfam family "tRNA". From Rfam's summary of the family: Transfer RNA (tRNA) molecules are approximately 80 nucleotides in length. Their secondary structure includes four short double-helical elements and three loops (D, anti-codon, and T loops). The record is from RNAcentral. RNAcentral also lists the same sequence under 5 other names. Lineage: Bacteria; Bacillati; Bacillota; Bacilli; Lactobacillales; Lactobacillaceae.